CCUACGGGAGGCAGCAGUGAGGAAUAUUGGUCAAUGGUCGGGAGACUGAACCAGCCAAGCCGCGUGAGGGAUGAAGGUACAGAGUAUCGUAAACCUCUUUUGUCAGGGAACAAAGGCGGGGACGCGUCCCCGGAUGAGUGUACCUGAAGAAAAAGCAUCGGCUAACUCCGUGCCAGCAGCCGCGGUAAUACGGCGGAUGCGAGCGUUAUCCGGAUUUAUGGGGUUUAAAGGGUGCGCAGGCGGUCUGUUAAGUCAGCGGUCAAAGCCCGGGGCUCACCCCCGGCCCGCCGUUGAAACUGGUAGUCUCGAGUUGGAGAGAAGUAUGCGGAAUGCGCGGUGUAGCGGUGAAAUGCAUAGAUAUCGCGCAGAACUCCGAUUGCGAAGGCAGCAUGCCGGCUCCACACUGACGCUGAGGCACGAAAGCGUGGGUAUCGAACAGGAUUAGAUACCCCUGUAGUC
This 459-nucleotide ribosomal RNA is filed under the name uncultured bacterium. RNAcentral describes it as "partial 16S ribosomal RNA". It matches the Rfam family "Bacterial small subunit ribosomal RNA", at positions 338 to 795 of the family's 1533-position model. The record is from RNAcentral.